CAUGCAGUCGAGCGGAUGAAGGAGCUUGCUCCUGGAUUCAUCGGCAGAGGGGUGAGUAAUGCCUAUGAAUCUGCCUGGUAGUGGGGGAUAACGUCCGGAAACGGGCGCUAAUACCGCAAACGUCCUGAGGGAGAAAGUGGGGGAUCUUCAGACCUCAGGCUAUCACAUGAGCCUAAGUCGGAUUAGCUAGUUGGUGGGGUAAAGGCCUACGAAGGCGACGAUGCGUAUCUGGUCUGAGAGGAUGAUCAGUCACACUGGAACUGAGACACAGACCAGACUCCUACUGGAGGCAGCAGUGGGGAAUAUUGGACUAUGGGCGAAAGCCUGAUCCAGCCAUGCCGCGUGUGUGAAGAAGGUCAUCGGAUUGUAAAGCACUUUAAGUUGUGAUGAAGGGCAGUAAGUUAAUACCUUGCUGUUUUGACGUUACCAACACAAUAAGCACCGGCUAACUUCGUGCCAGCACCCGCGGUAAUACUAAUGGUGCAAGCGUUAAUCGGAAUUACAGGGCGUAAAGCGCGCGUACGUGGUUCAGCAAGUUGGAUGUGAAAUCCCCAGGCUCAACCUGGGAACUGCAUCCGAAACUACUGAUCUACAGUACGGUAGAGGGUGAUGGAAUUUCAAUUGUAGCGGUGAAAUGCGUAUAUAUAUGAAAGAGACCACUAGCGAAGGCGACCACCUGUACGGGCUGACACUGAGGUGCUAAAACCUGGGGAGCACCACGAUUAUAUACACUGAUGGUCGACUCCGU
This 748-nucleotide ribosomal RNA is filed under the name Pseudomonas aeruginosa. RNAcentral describes it as "bacterial SSU rRNA". It matches the Rfam family "Bacterial small subunit ribosomal RNA", at positions 54 to 803 of the family's 1533-position model. The record is from RNAcentral. Lineage: Bacteria; Pseudomonadati; Pseudomonadota; Gammaproteobacteria; Pseudomonadales; Pseudomonadaceae.